This 250-nucleotide ribosomal RNA is filed under the name uncultured bacterium. RNAcentral's name for it is "partial 16S ribosomal RNA". It matches the Rfam family "Bacterial small subunit ribosomal RNA", at positions 525 to 775 of the family's 1533-position model. The record is from RNAcentral. RNAcentral also lists the same sequence under 1 other name.
ACGUAGGGGGCUAGCGUUAUCCGGAUUUACUGGGCGUAAAGGGUGCGUAGGCGGUCUUUUAAGUCAGGAGUGAAAGGCUACGGCUCAACCGUAGUAAGCUCUUGAAACUGGAGGACUUGAGUGCAGGAGAGGAGAGUGGAAUUCCUAGUGUAGCGGUGAAAUGCGUAGAUAUUAGGAGGAACACCAGUAGCGAAGGCGGCUCUCUGGACUGUAACUGACGCUGAGGCACGAAAGCGUGGGGAGCAAACAG